MicroRNA precursor from Chlorocebus sabaeus (green monkey), 83 nucleotides. The record is from Ensembl. NCBI's taxonomy places the organism in Eukaryota, Metazoa, Chordata, Mammalia, Primates, Cercopithecidae.
ACAGAAGCACUGGACUUGGUGUCAGAUGGGAUGAGUCCUGGCUCUGUUUCCUAGUAGCAGUCUGAUCUUGAACUAGUCACUGG